CCGAAAUAAGAAGGAAAAUAAGAAUCAUAACUUUUUUGGUCUUUGUCUGAGAGGUUUUACUACUUUUGAUAGACGUACAAGCCUUUAGACUGCUGGCAUUACCACAUAAGCCUUUAUUAUUUCUAUAUGCCUCAAAUGGAGCCUCGCAGAAGGCUUUAACAUUGGGAAUAGGACCUUCUAAUUCAUUGUAGGAGAUAUCCACAGCAGUCAAGCUCC
Molecule: unclassified non-coding RNA, 216 nt
Filed under: Hevea brasiliensis (rubber tree)
Lineage: Eukaryota; Viridiplantae; Streptophyta; Magnoliopsida; Malpighiales; Euphorbiaceae
Source: RNAcentral